AGUGAACGCUGGCGGUAGGCCUAACACAUGCAAGUCGAACGGCAGCACAGUAAGAGCUUGCUCUUACGGGUGGCGAGUGGCGUACGUAUGAGGAAUACAUCGGAAUCUACUUUUUCGUGGGGGAUAACGUAGGGAAACUUACGCUAAUACCGCAUACGACCUACGGUUGAAAGCAGGGGAUCUUCGGACCUUGCGCGAUUGAAUGAGCCGCUGUCGGAUUAGCUAGUUGGCGGGGUAAAGGCCCACCAAGGCGACGAUCCGUAGCUGGUCUGAGAGAAUGAUCAGCAGCACUGGAACUGGGACAGGGUCCAGACUCCUACGGGAGGCAGCAGUGGGGAACAUUGGACAAUGGGCGCAAGCCUGAUCCAGUGAUACCGAGUCGGUGAAGAAGGCCUUCGGGUUGUAAAGACCUUUUGUUGGGAAAGAAAAGCAGCAGGUUAAUACCCCGCUGUUCUGACGGUACCCAAAGAAUAAGCACCGGCUAACUUCGUG
Molecule: ribosomal RNA, 492 nt
Filed under: uncultured bacterium
Lineage: Bacteria
Description: partial 16S ribosomal RNA
Rfam family: Bacterial small subunit ribosomal RNA
Source: RNAcentral